Molecule: non-coding RNA, 29 nt
Filed under: Mus musculus (house mouse)
Lineage: Eukaryota; Metazoa; Chordata; Mammalia; Rodentia; Muridae
Source: RNAcentral
UCCAGACUCUUCCGGAAUGCACCCCCUGA